This is a non-coding RNA of Manis javanica (Malayan pangolin), 356 nucleotides long. The record is from RefSeq and is a predicted model, not a curated record. NCBI's taxonomy places the organism in Eukaryota, Metazoa, Chordata, Mammalia, Pholidota, Manidae.
GUUCAAGAGAUUCAACUACCAGAUUGUCCUGUGCACUGACCAAUUAGGACAGAUGCCGGGAUAAACAACUGGCUUACCUGUACCAAUGCAUUCCUGCUGAACAUCAACCAGCUUUGCGUCUUAUUCUGAGUGAAGCUGUUCUCAGUAUGGUGCAAGGAAAAGCCUCAUGAAAACCAUGCAUGCAACUGUUAUCGGACCCCACCUUUCUGGAGAAAUUUGGGAUACAUUCCCUCAUGCCAAAUGGGAAAAUAGCACCAUUCCAGAUGUUCACACGCAGGAUCCCAGUUUUGCAAAUGAAACAACUAGGCUCAAUGAGGUUCCAAGAACUAAUAAGUUGCAGAUACAGGUACUGAAUU